GGGUACGAGAAGGCCGCUACACAGCGAUGUGAUGCCAAUCCCUAAAGCCCCUCUCAGUUCGGAUCGAAGUCUGCAACCCGACUUCGUGAAGCUGGAUUCGCUAGUAAUCGCGCAUCAGCCACGGCGCGGUGAAUACGUUCCCGGGCCUUGUACACACCGCCCGUCAAGCCAUGGGAGCCGGGGUACCUGAAGUACGUAACCGCAAGGAGCGUCCUAGGGUAAAACUGGUGACUGGGGCUAAGUCGUAACAAGGUACC
Molecule: ribosomal RNA, 257 nt
Filed under: uncultured bacterium
Lineage: Bacteria
Description: partial 16S ribosomal RNA
Rfam family: Bacterial small subunit ribosomal RNA
Source: RNAcentral